This 204-nucleotide ribosomal RNA is filed under the name Triticum aestivum (bread wheat). RNAcentral describes it as "partial small subunit ribosomal RNA". The record is from RNAcentral. Lineage: Eukaryota; Viridiplantae; Streptophyta; Magnoliopsida; Poales; Poaceae.
AUGGUUCGGUGGUCGGAGAUUUGUAAGCCCCGCGAUCAGGGCGGACUCGGUUUCAUGUCCUCCAAACGCAUGAACAUAGCUCUCCUGACUAAGUGGCUGUGGCGGAUUGCGAACGGAGAGGGGGGCUUGUGGCUUCUCAUCAUCCAGCAGAAAUACCUCCGUGGCCAGCCACUCGCCUUCUGCCAGUGGUCCGGUGGAUCCUGA